AAAAAUAAAUAAAUAAAUAAAAGGUUGACUUUGACUUUGGUUGUUAGUAUUCUUUUUAUUUGAUUUCCACUAGAAAUGUGGAGUAAAGGGUUGAAAUUAAUUUUCAAUUACCGCAAGAAAGAGAAUUGAAAGAAGAAGACAGAUAAUGGACUGAGAUUCAACCUUGGAUUGCCAUAUAAUUAAUUUACUGAAGAGGUGGGUGGCAAAUAAUUAAAGCUUUUGAUUAGUUUUAUUGUGUGACGAGACGUUUCUGUUCUAGAGUUUUUUCAACUUGGCACCUGGGGCUGGGGGGCCACGUUAAAAGGACACUUCUUUUGCAAUAUCCAUUGGCGAACAAAGAACACUGAAGCGAAACAAUACGGACAGUACUUAUCAAAAAGGGGAGAUUUAUACAAUUUUUAUUUUUUUAAUAUAGGGAGGAAAAAAAAUAGGUAAAUUACUUUUAAGUUUUUAUAAUUUGUUAAAAUUAAUUAUUUUAUCUUUAAAUUUUUUAAAAUCUCAAUUGAAAUGUCUUUAUAUUUUGUAAAAACAUAUUCUUUAUUCUUUCUUUCAAAGAAAUGUUAAUCAAUAUAUUUAGCCUUGAACACUAAUAAUGUUUAAUCCCUAUAAUUUUAAUUAUUUAUACUGUUUAAUUUCUCUUAUCAAGAUUAAAAUAAUUUGACUAAUAUUUUUUACGAUAAAAAUCUAAUAAAGGGGCUAAAGAGUUUGAUUUUUCAAAAUAUAGAAAUAGAUUUUAAAAGAGGAAGCAUUAAGAAGUUAAUUUUAACAAAUUAUAAAGACAUGAUUGUAAUUUAUCCAAAAAACAAAAUAAAAAAUGGCACCAAGAAAUUGUAUGAAGCUAUUAAUAGAUAUUUCUUGAUGGAGAAGAGAGGUUGUGGAGUAGUCUUACUCUUAUUAAUCCCAGACUGACACCCACUAUAUUGAGCAAUGAAAGUAUUAAGAGAAUUAAAUAGACUCAUUACCAGUUUGUUUUUGACAUGCCAAAACGAAAAAUUCAUUUCUUGCCCUUCUAAAGUGUGAAAAGUAUAGAUUUAUAUGCCUCCAAAAUAAACAUAUACAAUCUAAUCUUUAAUUGGGAUAAUUUGAUUCUGAUGUAUAUCAAUUGUCACGGGUCACAAAUUCAACCCAUAUAUAGUAGCUGA
RNAcentral lists this unclassified non-coding RNA (1142 nucleotides) under Hevea brasiliensis (rubber tree). The record is from RNAcentral. Lineage: Eukaryota; Viridiplantae; Streptophyta; Magnoliopsida; Malpighiales; Euphorbiaceae.